UCUUCAGGUCCAAAAUCUUGUGUGAAUGCAGUGGAUGUACACUCAACCUCAAACUCAUCUAUUCACCUGUAAUGAGACUCUACUGCAAUGAAAACAAAUUCAUCUCACCACAAACCAAUAUCAUACAUCAGAACUAUAUGAGAGAGGACAGUUUGACAGUUGAGCAGUUUGACAUGGGCUCCACAUGGAAGUUGUUAAUAUAUGUCCAUAGAAUUGUUGAAUCAUGUGAGUUAGAAGGGACCUUUAAGGGGUGUUCAGACUUGGUGUACAUUUUUGAAAGCACUAAGCUAAGGAGAAAAAUCUUUCCUGCUUUAGAGCACUCUAGAGAAUGAAAAAGAACUAAAAAUGAACCAAAACAUCAUCAGACAUUUUUGGGUCCAGUUUCAAUCUUCCGUUUCUUGUCACAAACCCUUGCACUGCCUAAACACUGUUUUUCUUCUCCUCCCUGUGCAGCUUGAAAAUGACACUCAAAUAAAAAACCUUCAGCUCAAAAGCACGAACAUUUCCCACCUGGAUUUUAACGUUGCCUUACCAGAAAACAUCCUUUCAUUUCAAACCAGCUUUUGUUCCCCAUUGUGCUGUAUACCAGUAAAGGACUCUGAAGGCUAAGCAGUUUCAAGACAUCUUGAUGCCUGGAUGAAAGAUGUUUCUUCUGAGUCAGCAGUGUUCUUCUCCAGCAUUUUGCAAGGUGUUUUCUCCUGCUGGCAAAAUCAGAAAUACUAGUAACUUAACAAGGCUUUUAAAGGGGCAACACUUUGGUCUCCAAUGGAAAUUUACUUCCAUUCCACCCUGUUGCGAUCUUAAGGUAAGGAAAUCUGGUAUUUUUUUUGUAGUAGAUUUUUUGUUCCUCCAGUACUUAGGAAAGAUCGCUCAUCUCUUCUGUCUUUGUCUUCAGCUCUAUCCAUGUUACUCACAGCUGGUUUGACAAUGAGUGAUGCAUACAGUUAAGCAGCU
RNAcentral lists this long non-coding RNA (954 nucleotides) under Coturnix japonica (Japanese quail). RNAcentral's name for it is "lncRNA (ENSCJPG00005010473.1)". The record is from RNAcentral. Lineage: Eukaryota; Metazoa; Chordata; Aves; Galliformes; Phasianidae.